GGACGUAUAGCUCAGUUGGUUAGAGUACAUCCUUGACAUGGAUGGGGUCACUGGUUCGAAUCCAGUUACGUCCA
RNAcentral lists this transfer RNA (74 nucleotides) under Acinetobacter sp. RNAcentral's name for it is "tRNA-Val". It matches the Rfam family "tRNA". Rfam says of the family: Transfer RNA (tRNA) molecules are approximately 80 nucleotides in length. Their secondary structure includes four short double-helical elements and three loops (D, anti-codon, and T loops). RNAcentral also lists the same sequence under 10 other names. The record is from RNAcentral. Lineage: Bacteria; Pseudomonadati; Pseudomonadota; Gammaproteobacteria; Moraxellales; Moraxellaceae.